CUUCCGUUAGGAAAUCUUAUCUCUUUGCAUCUUCGGAAAAGGUAGUGUUUAUGGUCCUCUGCUGCCCGGCUACUUUGAUUCUAGUGGUCCUAAACCUCGUCUAGGAUAUAGUCAGGACAUAUAGUAUUGUGUAUAAUAACCACUUUGGUGAAAAACAAUCAUAGUAUAACAGUAUAAUAGCACUAAAUUUCUGAAGCUUUGGUGUUUUGAGUGGAAAAUUCAGUCGGCUGAAGGUUUAAGUAGUAAAAGAGCUAGAAGUUUUGGAGGUUUCUGUCCCAUUAUGUAUGUAAAACGGAGGUUUCUUGGAUAUUUGUUUUUCGUUUGUCUGAAGUUUGGUUUGAAAGGAGUACCUGGAGGAGACAGGGUCUUGUGGUAAUGGCCGAGGACCCGUCUCGCCGGAUAAUGUUGCCGGUGAAGAACAAGGGCAGAGAAGAGUGAAUCUUGAAAGGGAAGGGAAGAGGACAAAGACCCAACAUUUGAGAUGGUAAGGCUGCUGAAGAAUGGUGAGACCAGACAAGAGAGAUUAAGCCUUUGGGUUUAGGUUCUGUGACCGUGUUUUCUUGGAGGCUCCUUGAAGAAGAAAGGAACACUUGGAAAAACGAACCAACUCUGCUUUCUUUGGGGAGGUUUCUAUUCGGAGAGGCAAAGCUACGACCAUAUAUAAACAUCUGUUAUGUAUGUAUGUAUGUAUGUAUGUAUGUAUAUGCACAUGUAUGUACUCAUGUAUACAUACAUGUAUCUCUGUAGAUUAUACAUGAAUGUGAUGUAAGAGAAUGUAUUUGGUUAUUAUUUUUA
This is a long non-coding RNA of Tarenaya hassleriana, 795 nucleotides long. RefSeq lists it as uncharacterized. The record is from RefSeq and is a predicted model, not a curated record. Lineage: Eukaryota; Viridiplantae; Streptophyta; Magnoliopsida; Brassicales; Cleomaceae. The transcript has 2 exons.